RNAcentral lists this ribosomal RNA (597 nucleotides) under Thelephora fuscofarinosa. RNAcentral describes it as "Tomentella fuscofarinosa partial large subunit ribosomal RNA". It matches the Rfam family "Eukaryotic large subunit ribosomal RNA", at positions 35 to 612 of the family's 3401-position model. The record is from RNAcentral. Lineage: Eukaryota; Fungi; Basidiomycota; Agaricomycetes; Thelephorales; Thelephoraceae.
UAAGCAUAUCAAUAAGCGGAGGAAAAGAAACUAACAAGGAUUCCCCUAGUAACUGCGAGUGAAGCGGGAAGAGCUCAAAUUUAAAAUCUGGCGUGCCUCUGGUCGUCCGAGUUGUAGUCUGGAGAAGCGUUUUCCGUGUUGGACCGUGUAUAAGUCUCUUGGAACAGGGCGUCAUAGAGGGUGAGAAUCCCGUCUUUGACACGGACUACCAAUGCUUUGUGAUGCGCUCUCAAAGAGUCGAGUUGUUUGGGAAUGCAGCUCAAAAUGGGUGGUAAAUUCCAUCUAAAGCUAAAUAUAGGCGAGAGACCGAUAGCGAACAAGUACCGUGAGGGAAAGAUGAAAAGCACUUUGGAAAGAGAGUUAAACAGUACGUGAAAUUGCUGAAAGGGAAACGCUUGAAGUCAGUCAUGUCUGCCAGGACUCAGCCUUGCUUCUGCUUGGUGCACUUUCUGGUUUGAUGGGCCAACAUCAAUUCUGACCGUUGGAGAAAGGCAUUGGGAAUGUGGCACCUUUGGGUGUGUUAUAGCCCUUUGUUGUAUACAACGGUUGGGAUUGAGGACUGCAGCAUGCCUUCAUGGCCGGGGUUCGCCCACGUAC